CCUCCUAUAGUCUAGUGGAAGGACCACGGGUCUUGAUCCCGUUAGCCGGCGAUCGAAACGCCGUAGGAGGU
Molecule: transfer RNA, 71 nt
Filed under: Emiliania huxleyi virus 156
Lineage: Varidnaviria; Bamfordvirae; Nucleocytoviricota; Megaviricetes; Algavirales; Phycodnaviridae
Also listed under: 1 other name
Description: tRNA-Gln
Rfam family: tRNA
About the family: Transfer RNA (tRNA) molecules are approximately 80 nucleotides in length. Their secondary structure includes four short double-helical elements and three loops (D, anti-codon, and T loops). Further hydrogen bonds mediate the characteristic L-shaped molecular structure. tRNAs have two regions of fundamental functional importance: the anti-codon, which is responsible for specific mRNA codon recognition, and the 3' end, to which the tRNAs corresponding amino acid is attached (by aminoacyl-tRNA synthetases). tRNAs cope with the degeneracy of the genetic code in two manners: having more than one tRNA (with a specific anti-codon) for a particular amino acid; and 'wobble' base-pairing, i.e. permitting non-standard base-pairing at the 3rd anti-codon position.
Source: RNAcentral